This 73-nucleotide transfer RNA is filed under the name Ovis aries (sheep). It matches the Rfam family "tRNA". Rfam says of the family: Transfer RNA (tRNA) molecules are approximately 80 nucleotides in length. Their secondary structure includes four short double-helical elements and three loops (D, anti-codon, and T loops). Lineage: Eukaryota; Metazoa; Chordata; Mammalia; Artiodactyla; Bovidae. The record is from Rfam by way of RNAcentral.
UCCCUGGUGGUCUAGUGGUGAAGACGCCACACUUCCACUGCAGGGAGCACAAGUUCGAUCCCUUGUCAGGGAA